RNAcentral lists this ribosomal RNA (433 nucleotides) under uncultured bacterium. RNAcentral describes it as "partial 16S ribosomal RNA". It matches the Rfam family "Bacterial small subunit ribosomal RNA", at positions 29 to 507 of the family's 1533-position model. The record is from RNAcentral.
AACGAACGCUGGCGGCAUGCCUAACACAUGCAAGUCGAACGAGACCUUCGGGUCUAGUGGCGCACGGGUGCGUAACGCGUGGGAACCUGCCCUUAGGUUCGGAAUAACUCCCCGAAAGGGGUGCUAAUACCGGAUAAUGUCUUCGGACCAAAGAUUUAUCGCCUUUGGAUGGGCCCGCGUUGGAUUAGCUAGUUGGUAGGGUAAAAGCCUACCAAGGCGACGAUACAUAGCUGGUCUGAGAGGAUGAUCAGCCACACUGGGACUGAGACACGGCCCAGAAUCCUACGGGAGGCAGCAGUGGGGAAUAUUGGACAAUGGGCGAAAGCCUGAUCCAGCAAUGCCGCGUGAGUGAUGAAGGCCUUAGGGUUGUAAAGCUCUUUUACCCGGGAUGAUAAUGACAGUACCGGGAGAAUAAGCGCCGGCUAACUCCGUG